CACUUACUUCCUCCGUCUCAAAAUUCUUGUCUUAAAUUUGUCUAAAUACGGAUAUAUCAAGUCAUGUUUUAGUAUUAGAUACAUCCGUAUCUAGACAAAUCUAAGACAAGAAUUUUGAGAUGGAGGAAGUAUUAU
Triticum aestivum (bread wheat) is the source of this 135-nucleotide non-coding RNA. NCBI's taxonomy places the organism in Eukaryota, Viridiplantae, Streptophyta, Magnoliopsida, Poales, Poaceae. The record is from Rfam.